GACGUAGGAGGCGAGCGUUGUCCGGAUUCAUUGGGCGUAAAGAGCGCGCAGGCGGCUUGGUAAGUCGGAUGUGAAAUCCCGAGGCUCAACCUCGGGUCUGCAUCCGAUACUGCCCGGCUAGAGGUAGGUAGGGGAGAUCGGAAUUCCUGGUGUAGCGGUGAAAUGCGCAGAUAUCAGGAGGAACACCGGUGGCGAAGGCGGAUCUCUGGACGGCUAACUGACGCUGAGGCGCGAAGGCCAGGGGAGCAAACGGG
This 254-nucleotide ribosomal RNA is filed under the name uncultured bacterium. RNAcentral describes it as "partial 16S ribosomal RNA". It matches the Rfam family "Bacterial small subunit ribosomal RNA", at positions 524 to 776 of the family's 1533-position model. The record is from RNAcentral.